CAGGCCUAACACAUGCAAGUCGAGGGGCAUCGGGAUUGUGGUUUACCACAGUUGCCGGCGACCGGCGCACGGGUGCGUAACGCGUAUCGAACCUGCCCAUUACUCCGGGAUAGCCUUGCGAAAGCAAGUUUAAUACCGGAUGUUCUCAAUUCGGCACCUGCUGUAUUGAGCAAAGAUUUAUCGGUAAUGGAUGGCGAUGCGUCCGAUUAGGUAGCAGGCGGGGUAACGGCCCACCUGGCCUACGAUCGGUAGGGGUUCUGAGAGGAAGGUCCCCCACACUGGAACUGAGACACGGUCCAGACUCCUACGGGAGGCAGCAGUGAGGAAUAUUGGUCAAUGGGCGGAAGCCUGAACCAGCCAAGUCGCGUGAGGGAAGACGGUCCUAUGGAUUGUAAACCUCUUUUGCAGGGGAGCAAAGCCGGUCUCGUGAGGCCGGAAGGAGAGUACCCUGAGAAAAAGCAUCGGCUAACUCCGUGCCAGCAGCCGCGGUAAUACGGAGGAUGCGAGCGUUAUCCGGAUUUAUUGGGUUUAGCACGCGCGGAGCGCCAAGUCACGSGGCUCAACAAAUGCGGGGCUCAACCCCGUCACGGCSGUUGAAACUGACGCCCUUGAGUGAGCGAAAAGUAUGCGGAAUGCGUCGGUGUAGCGGUGAAAUGCAUAGAUAUCACGCAGAACUCCGAUUGCGAAGGCAGCAUACCGGCGCUCAACUGACGCUCAGGCACGAAAGCGUGGGUAUCAAACAGGCUUAGAUACCCUGGUAGUCCACGCAGUAAACGAUGAAUGCUAACUGUCCGGGGCGAUUAAGUCCUGGGUGGUACAGCGAAAGCGUUAAGCAUUCCACCUGGGGAGUACGCCGGCAACGGUGAAACUCAAAGGAAUUGACGGGGGCCCGCACAAGCGGAGGAACAUGUGGUUUAAUUCGAUGAUACGCGAGGAACCUUACCCGGGCUCAAACGCACAGUGACUGUCUGUGAAAGCAGAUUUUCCCUUCGGGGACAGUGUGCGAGGUGCUGCAUGGUUGUCGUCAGCUCGUGCCGUGAGGUGUCGGCUUAAGUGCCAUAACGAGCGCAACCCCUAUCGACAGUUGCUAACAGGUGAAGCUGAGGACUCUGUCGAGACUGCCGGCGCAAGCUGUGAGGAAGGCGGGGAUGACGUCAAUCAGGCACGGCCUUACGUCCGGGGCGACACACGUGUUACAAUGGCAGGUACAGACGGGAAGCCAUGCGGCGACGCAGAGCAGAACCCGAAAACCUGUCUCAGUCGGAUUGGAGUCUGCAACCCGACUCCAUGAAGCUGGAUUCGCUAGUAAUCGCGCAUCAGCCACGGCGCGGUGAAUACGUUCCCGGGCCUUGUACACACCGCCCGUCAAGCCAUGGAAGCCGGGAGUGCCUGAAGUACGCGACCGCAAGGAGCGUCCUAAGGUAAAACCGGUGACUGGGGC
Molecule: ribosomal RNA, 1441 nt
Filed under: uncultured bacterium
Lineage: Bacteria
Description: 16S ribosomal RNA
Rfam family: Bacterial small subunit ribosomal RNA
Source: RNAcentral